UGAGGAAUAUUGCGCAAUGGACGAAAGUCUGACGCAGCAACGCCGCGUGAGGGAUGAAGCUUUUCGGAGUGUAAACCUCUGUUAGGAGGGAAGAACGUCUAUUAUUCGAACAGGGUAAUAGAGUGACGGUACCUCCAGAGAAAGCCCCGGCUAACUCCGUGCCAGCAGCCGCGGUAAUACGGGGGGGGCGAACGUUGUCCGGAAUUAUUGGGCGUAAAGGGCGCGUAGGCGGGAAGGUCAGUCAGAGGUGAAAGCUUGUGGCUUAACUGCAAGUUUGCCUUUGAUACUGCCAUUCUUGAGUUCGGAAGAGGGAAGUGGAAUUCCUGGUGUAGCGGUGAAAUGCGUAGAUAUCAGGAAGAACACCGGUGGCGAAGGCGGCUUCCUGGUCCGAUACUGACGCUGAUGCGCGAAAGCGUGGGGAGCAAACA
This 428-nucleotide ribosomal RNA is filed under the name uncultured bacterium. RNAcentral's name for it is "bacterial SSU rRNA". It matches the Rfam family "Bacterial small subunit ribosomal RNA", at positions 355 to 774 of the family's 1533-position model. The record is from RNAcentral.